Non-coding RNA from Ceratotherium simum simum (southern white rhinoceros), 136 nucleotides. The record is from RefSeq and is a predicted model, not a curated record. Lineage: Eukaryota; Metazoa; Chordata; Mammalia; Perissodactyla; Rhinocerotidae.
AACUAUUCAUGUGGAAGCUCACACACUGGACUUGCUAGACAAAACUUUAAAUCAACUAUCUUAAAUAUGGUCAAAUAGCUAAAGGAAACUAAGAACAAAGAGCUAAAGCAAAAUAGGAGAAAGAUGUCUCACCAAA